AAUGAACGUUGGCGGCGUGGAUUAGGCAUGCAAGUCGAGCGCUCAUAGCAAUAUGGGAGCGGCGAACGGUGUAGUAAUGCAUCGGAACGUACCCUUCGGUCGGGGAUAGCCACGGGAAACUGUGGGUAAUACCCGAUGAUAUCUGCGGAUCAAAGGUGAGAUUCCGCCGGAGGAGCGGCUGAUGUGAUAUUAGCUUGAUGGUGGGGUAAUGGCCUACCAUGGCGAUGAUGUCUAGGGGUGUGAGAGCAUGGCCCCCCACGACCGGAACUGAGACACUGUCCGGACACCUACGGGUGGCUGCAGUCGAGAAUCUUCCGCAAUGGACGAAAGUCUGACGGAGCGACGCCGCGUGCGGGAUGAAGGCCCUUGGGUUGUAAACCGCUGUCAGAGGGGAUGAAAUCUCCGGGGGUACUCCCCCGGAGUUGACAGAGCCUCAAAGGAAGCACGGGCUAAGUACGUG
Molecule: ribosomal RNA, 460 nt
Filed under: uncultured bacterium
Lineage: Bacteria
Description: bacterial SSU rRNA
Rfam family: Bacterial small subunit ribosomal RNA
Source: RNAcentral